GGGGACGCGUGGUCUCGACAGUGGAAGCGUGCUACAGAAUUGCAGGCUGAGGUGCCAUCACCCUCAUUAAACAGGUGGCAAAAAACAACUGCCGAACCUGAAUUGGUUCUGGCUGGCUAAAUAAGCUAGCCCAUCCAGCCUGACCCCACCCCGGCGGGUUAGGGUCUGGGUGACGCAAAGUCGGGGUGCCGCCGCCCGCAUGCCGAUAAGGGCGACGAAAGACUAAUCGGCUGGCGCGGGAAGACUCGUUCAGUUGAGGCUUUUUGCGCAAGAUUAAAGAGCUGAAUAAUCCUGUAGUAGAUUCUGGGUCGCUUCUAUUGGACGGGGAGUUCGACUCUCCCCCGUCUCCACCA
RNAcentral lists this transfer-messenger RNA (353 nucleotides) under Dehalococcoidales. RNAcentral's name for it is "SURF-27 sp003597995 Standard tmRNA". It matches the Rfam family "transfer-messenger RNA". From Rfam's summary of the family: Bacterial tmRNA, also known as 10Sa RNA or SsrA, is named for its dual tRNA and mRNA-like properties. Its role is to liberate the mRNA from a stalled ribosome. RNAcentral also lists the same sequence under 1 other name. Lineage: Bacteria; Bacillati; Chloroflexota; Dehalococcoidia. The record is from RNAcentral.